Molecule: ribosomal RNA, 186 nt
Filed under: uncultured bacterium
Lineage: Bacteria
Description: partial 16S ribosomal RNA
Rfam family: Bacterial small subunit ribosomal RNA
Source: RNAcentral
CCUGCAUGAAGUCGGAAUUGCUAGUAAUCGCAGAUCAGCAUGCUGCGGUGAAUACGUUCCCGGGCCUUGUACACACCGCCCGUCACACCAUGGGAGUCGGUAACACCCAAAGUUGGUAGCCUAACCGCAAGGAGGGCGCCGCCUAAGGUGGGAUUGAUGACUGGGGUGAAGUCGUAACAAGGUAAC